This 465-nucleotide ribosomal RNA is filed under the name uncultured bacterium. Its description in RNAcentral is "partial 16S ribosomal RNA". It matches the Rfam family "Bacterial small subunit ribosomal RNA", at positions 28 to 507 of the family's 1533-position model. The record is from RNAcentral.
GACGAACGCUGGCGGCGUGCUUAACACAUGCAAGUCGAACGGAAAGGCCCCUUCGGGGGUACUCGAGUGGCGAACAGGUGAGUAACACGUGAGUAACCUGCCCUUGACUUCGGGAUAACUUCAGGAAACUGGGGCUAAUACCGGAUAGGAAUCCUUGCUGCAUGGUGGGGGUUGGAAAGCUUCGGCGGUUUUGGAUGGACUCGCGGCUUAUCAGCUUGUUGGUGGGGUAGUGGCUUACCAAGGCUUUGACGGGUAGCCGGCCUGAGAGGGCGACCGGCCACAUUGGGACUGAGAUACGGCCCAGACUCCUACGGGAGGCAGCAGUGGGGAAUAUUGCUCAAUGGGCGGAAGCCUGAUGCAGCAACGCCGCGUGCGGGAUGACGGCCUUCGGGUUGUAAACCGCUUUCAGCAGGGGCGAAGCUUGUGGUGACGGUACCUGCAGAAGAAGCACCGGCUAACUACGUG